AGAGUUUGAUUCAUGGCUCAGAUUGAACGCUGGCGGAAUGCUUUACACAUGCAAGUCGAGCGGCAGCGCGGGGGCAACCCUGGCGGCGAGCGGCGAACGGGUGAGUAAUACAUCGGAACGUGUCCUUGAGUGGGGGAUAGCUCGGCGAAAGCCGGAUUAAUACCGCAUAAGCUCUGAGGAGGAAAGCGGGGGAUUCCGCGAGGGACCUCGCGCUGUUGGAGCGGCCGAUGUCGGAUUAGCUAGUUGGUGGGGUAAAGGCCCACCAAGGCGACGAUCCGUAGCUGGUCUGAGAGGAUGAUCAGCCACACUGGAACUGAGACACGGUCCAGACUCCUACGGGAGGCAGCAGUGGGGAAUUUUGGACAAUGGGGGCAACCCUGAUCCAGCCAUUCCGCGUGAGUGAAGAAGGCCUUCGGGUUGUAAAGCUCUUUCGGACGGAACGAAACGGUUAGCGUGAAUAACGCUGACUAAUGACGGUACCGUAAGAAGAAGCACCGGCUAACUACGUGCCAGCAGCCGCGGUAAUACGUAGGGUGCGAGCGUUAAUCGGAAUUACUGGGCGUAAAGCGUGCGCAGGCGGUGGCUCAAGUCAGGUGUGAAAUCCCCGGGCUUAACCUGGGAAUUGCGCUUGAAACUAGGCUGCUAGAGUGUGGCAGAGGGGGGUGGAAUUCCACGUGUAGCAGUGAAAUGCGUAGAGAUGUGGAGGAACACCGAUGGCGAAGGCAGCCCCCUGGGUCAACACUGACGCUCAGGCACGAAAGCGUGGGGAGCAGACAGGAUUAGAUACCCUGGUAGUCCACGCCCUAAACGAU
This 812-nucleotide ribosomal RNA is filed under the name uncultured bacterium. RNAcentral's name for it is "bacterial SSU rRNA". It matches the Rfam family "Bacterial small subunit ribosomal RNA", at positions 8 to 810 of the family's 1533-position model. The record is from RNAcentral.